This 659-nucleotide ribosomal RNA is filed under the name uncultured archaeon. RNAcentral describes it as "bacterial SSU rRNA". It matches the Rfam family "Archaeal small subunit ribosomal RNA", at positions 1 to 667 of the family's 1478-position model. The record is from RNAcentral.
UUCCGGUUGAUCCCGCCGGACCUGACUGCUAUCGGAUUGAUACUAAGCCAUGCGAGUCAUUGUAGCAAUACAAGGCAGACGGCUCAGUAACGCGUAGUCAACCUAACCUAUGGACGGGAAUAACCUCGGGAAACUGAGAAUAAUGCCCGAUAGAACACUAUACCUGGAAUGGUUUGUGUUCCAAAUGAUUUAUCGCCGUAGGAUGGGACUGCGGCCUAUCAGUUUGUUGGUGAGGUAAUGGCCCACCAAGACUAUUACAGGUACGGGCUCUGAGAGGAGUAGCCCGGAGAUGGGUACUGAGACACGGACCCAGGCCCUAUGGGGCGCAGCAGGCGAGAAAACUUUGCAAUGUGCGAAAGCACGACAAGGUUAAUCCGAGUGAUUUGUGCUAAACGAAUCUUUUGUUAGUCCUAGAACCACUAACGAAUAAGGGGUGGGCAAGUUCUGGUGUCAGCCGCCGCGGUAAAACCAGCACCUCAAGUGGUCAGGAUGAUUAUUGGGCCUAAAGCAUCCGUAGCCGGCUCUGUAAGUUUUCGGUUAAAUCUGUACGCUUAACGUACAGGCUGCCGGGAAUACUGCAGAGCUAGGGAGUGGGAGAGGUAGACGGUACUCGGUAGGAAGGGGUAAAAUCCUUUGAUCUAUUGAUGACCACCUGUGGC